GAUAUGAGCUGUUAGAUCGAAAUCAUUUAAUCCUACUGUCGUGGAAAAUAGGGAAGAGCUAUAAAUAACCAGCUAAUUCUUGAGAAAAGAGGCCGGUAGAAAUUUAAGAGAACAAAUCUUUUGGAAAACUAGGUAGAGAACAAACUAUGUUAAUACGGUGACUAGUUUGGUGUUUUGGAUAUACGAUUUUGCGACAAUCGUUGGCUUCCUUAUAAUUGAUCUUAGGAACAUUAUUUGGAGACCUUUGCAAAAACAGGUCAGUGCUAGCAGUACCAACUUGACUGUAUUGGAAUGCGCCAAAUCGUUUGUGUUUCUUGUGUUGUGCACCUUUGAGCUGUCUGGGGAUCCAUGAGACCAUCAAUUCUGACAUUGGUAGAAGAAUAGACAGUUUCAGUGAGACUGGGAGAAUUAUCACGAGAGGUCCUGAGAAUUUUUCCUAAUCUGAUAACUUCUUCAUCAUUGUCAGUACUCUUGUUGAGAAAAGAAAUCCAUAUUUACGGGGACACCAUCCUUAGGAGGGAUGAAAACAAUUGUUUAAGAAAAAUUCUUUUGACUUUUCCUUGAAGCAGGAGUAGUGGUAGUUGUAGAGCUGGAUGAAACUGUUUUGCUUAAAUUACUAACUUUGCCAAAGAAGUAGGUUUUCUCAUGUGCUUUUGCUUGAAAGCUGGCUGCAUCUUUACAUGCACCUUUAUAGUGUUUGAUGAUAUAACUAUCAGUGCAGAUGCCACUUGGAUGACGUUCAUAGAAAAAUUUGAUUCACCGGGACAAACCGACAUUAGUUAUGGCUUUGAUUCCCCUUCGCAGAGGAUCAGUAAGAUCAAUAAUAACAAACUUUCACAGGAUCACUUCCUACUGGAAUUGCAUCUUUGGGUUCGAUUGCCACCACUUCUCCCAUGAUUUCUCCUAUCUUUGUGACUGUUGCUACAUUCAUGUGUUCAGGCAAAAGAUAUUUGAGCUGAAUCCAAAAGUGUGGAAAUCCCAGUGCUUUUAUGAGUAUAUCAUGUCAGGUAUGUAGUCAUGAACCACCAACAACUUUUUGUUGAUACUCCAUGGACAUUCUUCAAUGACCUUGUUCAGUAAAUUCCAGUUGUUAAACUUGAAUAUAAAGAGAUUAAGGUCAAUGUCCAUAAUUAUAAGCUCUUCAAAAAACAUAAAAGGCCAAGUGAAUUGAAUGUAUUUUUGAGCCGUAUCAUGAUUCAUUCUUCCUUCUAUUAUCACCUUUCCAAUCGCAGAUGCUUCCCAAGUAGGUUAUUCAAUAACUUUUUCAUUACUAUCAUCUUGCUGAACAAUAACCACAUCACUGGUAUUACCUAGAUCAAUAGUAGCCUGUUUGAACUUGUUAACCAAAUCUCCAACUUGAGAUGUGCCUUCACCAUCCAUAGUGGGUAAGUUCAGAGUUGUGUGAUUUGAGGAAAUAGUGUUGUGAAACAAGUUAUAAUAAGAGGUAAUCUUUCCACUAGGGUUAUGAAUAGAAGAAAGAGAUAUUCUGUUA
This is a long non-coding RNA of Papaver somniferum (opium poppy), 1492 nucleotides long. RefSeq lists it as uncharacterized. NCBI's taxonomy places the organism in Eukaryota, Viridiplantae, Streptophyta, Magnoliopsida, Ranunculales, Papaveraceae. The transcript is spliced from 2 exons. The record is from RefSeq and is a predicted model, not a curated record.